Oncorhynchus nerka (sockeye salmon) is the source of this 1647-nucleotide long non-coding RNA. RefSeq lists it as uncharacterized. NCBI's taxonomy places the organism in Eukaryota, Metazoa, Chordata, Actinopteri, Salmoniformes, Salmonidae. The transcript has 2 exons. The record is from RefSeq and is a predicted model, not a curated record.
CCUUCUGAAGAGACAGGAACCUCUCUGCACCUACAUGUUGAUGAGACAGGAACCUCUCUGCACCUACAUGUUGAUGAGACAGGAACCUCUCUGCUCCUACAUGUUGAUGAGACAGGUCCUUCUGAAGAGACAGGAACCUCUCUGCACCUACAUGUUGAUGAGACAGGUCCUUCUGAAGAGACAGGAACCUCUCUGCUCCUACAUGUUGAUGAGACAGGUCCUUCUGAAGAGACAGGAACCUCUCUGCACCUACAUGUUGUUGAGACAGGUCCUUCUGAAGAGACAGGAACCUCUCUGCUCCUACACUGCUGCACAGAAACAUAUCUUUCAUCACAGACCACCUCGUUAGAUCACUGAGCUGAGCCAGAGACUGGGCUAUCUCUCUGCUAAAUCACAAUGUUUAUUAAAUCAGGGUUGUUUAUUUCUCGUUAUCGCUCCCUGUUGGUAUGUGGUGGGGGGAGGAGAGGGAGAGUGCGGCUCUUUAACACUAAUGUGGGUAAUAUCUCUGUCGUUUACAGUAGCCUGGGGAGGGAGGGAUGGAUGUUACACUGAAAGGCGAGAGGAAAGAAGUAGCACAUGCCACACCUCCCUGUCACUCAGUGGUCGCUAUGGAGCCUGCCGUGGUUGCCAUGGUGUUGUCGGGGAGGGGCAGUAGGAGAGGUUAAAGGAGACAGAAGAGUGACAUCAUACUCUCUGUCAGCUGCGGGGGGCUUUAUCAUUGACGUGAAGCGUCCAGAACGUUGCAGAUAGAAAUAGAUUAACUACAGCUGGAACGACUCCCUGUUCUACAUAACAGACCUGACUGUGUUUGUUCUACACAAUACAUUUCUACAUCCUGAGAUGGUGGAGGCUGAUUUAAAAGACGUUCUCGCUCUCAAGGGGCUUUAUUGGCACGGGAAACAUGUUUACAAGUGGGAAAUAUUCAACAAAAGUGAGAAGGCAAAAACAUCAACAACAAAACGAUUUUAGAAUUUAACAGUAAACAUUUGCACUCAAAAACGUUUUUUACAAAAAAAAUAUCAACAUUUCAAAUAGUCUGUGUUUUGAUUUUUUUCUUUUCAAAUUCUUUAUGUUUCUGUGUGAAAUAUGUAUCUGUAAUGUGGUUAUACAUUUAGCAUGAGGUCAGGAAGUGCAGCUCAGUCUCUCACUCUCAGGGCUCUGGCAGACCAAGAUCACGGACACAGCUGAUACUCCUAGACACACACAUUGUGUUAAUGGUGCUGUCACUACACACACACACACACACACACACACACACACACACACACACACACACACACACACACACACACACAGACGACAUGUAUGCAUCAGGUGCAUGUUGUAUGGACCAGGCCACAGAGGUUAUAGUUCAGGGUUCAACCUCCUUCACUCAACGACAGGGUUUGUUUUUAUUUUGACUUAUUCCUUCCUUUUUUUCUUUAUUUUUUUUUUUUAUAGAAAUGAUUUUUUUUUUUAUAGCUUUUUUUUUUGUUACUCAAGACGAGAGGGUUUUUAAAAGCAUAAAUGAAGGUUGACGAUGUGUUUAUAGCGGUAACGGUGGUGAUGUGCGUUGUAGGCUGUUUGAUGGAAUCACAUGAAACUGUUUCAACACUGAGAUGAAGACCUACUGUUAAGCGUUGAGCUGUAAUAAAAUAUUAACCGAAA